AAUCACAGAAUAGUUGGGCGUGGAAGGGACCUCUGGAGAUCACCCAGUCCAACCCCCCUACCCAGGAAGGGUCACCUGGAGCAGGAGCCCAGAACUGGACACAGCACUCCAGAUGUGGCCGAUGUGCCACUCUGUCACCGCCUCGGGGACACAAGACACCGCCAGGGACAGGCCCUGGCACAGACCCACAGCCCUGGACCCAGGCUGGCAAGGGGGAUGAGUCCCAGCUGAAGCACAAACUCACAGGUGAUGUUUCCAGGGGCCACAGAGCAACUGAUCUGAGUGGAGAUCCCCAUGAUGAGGAAGACCAGGGACAACCUUCCCCUAUGAUGCACCUGCUCCAAAGUGUUAAAGGACUUCACCACCCUCAGGCCUUCUGUGGCAUGAUCCACCCACACUCAAUAUUGAUCUGCCUUCUGUAAAGGGAGCAACUAUUAAGAACAUCAAUAUUCUCUUCAUAUUUUAUCUUUCCAGCCCUAUAAUUGAAGUCUCAUUAAUUUUUUGUACCAUCCUGCACCACAGGAAGAAGUCAGGAACAGAUACAGGGGAAAAUUACAAGGGAGAGGGGAUGGCAUUUUUAACGACUAGAAAGCGUAGGCAGCAUUUGUUUUGGGCACAUUGAGAUUAACCAAGAGCAGCUGCUUUUCAGAACAAUUCCACUCUUUUCUGUUUCAGAAACACACAGAACAGCAGUUUCCAGACUCUGGCAUUGUACACAACUCCUUGCUUUGAACCCCAAACCUCUCCUACAGAUGCCAAGGCCAGCACAAACACAAGAGCCUGUGCAACCUUUCCAACCACUCACAGCAGCACCAAGCAGCCUGCCACUGGGAACCACUGCCUCCAAAAUCCAUCCAAUCAAAUAGGAGAAGCUACUCAACAACCUGACCGAAUUAUUCUGCCCAAUUCAAUUGUCUGAGAUCCCCAUCCUCUUCCUCCAUCCUUUUCUGCAUUGCCAAGGGGCAGUAUGUCCCAAAAAGAGAGCCAAACCAAGCACUCUCCAGGCUGACAUUCUCUAGAUGGGUGGCUUGCACAGAUCAGACACACCUCAGUCCUACUUCAUUAGUUCUAUUCACACUGCUUUUCCCAAAAUUAAAACAACCCCUUCCAUUGGUACAAUACAUCACAAAUGGACAGAAGAAUAAACAUUACGUGACGUUCCUUCACAA
Pseudopipra pipra is the source of this 1169-nucleotide long non-coding RNA. RefSeq lists it as uncharacterized. Lineage: Eukaryota; Metazoa; Chordata; Aves; Passeriformes; Pipridae. The transcript is spliced from 2 exons. The record is from RefSeq and is a predicted model, not a curated record.